RNAcentral lists this transfer RNA (52 nucleotides) under uncultured Symbiodinium. RNAcentral's name for it is "partial tRNA". The record is from RNAcentral. Lineage: Eukaryota; Dinophyceae; Suessiales; Symbiodiniaceae.
GCAGUGGUGAGAGCACUCACCUCCCACCAAUGUGGCCAAGGUUCAAAUCCUG